RNAcentral lists this ribosomal RNA (417 nucleotides) under Anaplasma platys. RNAcentral describes it as "bacterial SSU rRNA". It matches the Rfam family "Bacterial small subunit ribosomal RNA", at positions 26 to 453 of the family's 1533-position model. Lineage: Bacteria; Pseudomonadati; Pseudomonadota; Alphaproteobacteria; Rickettsiales; Anaplasmataceae. The record is from RNAcentral.
AGAACGAACGCUGGCGGCAAGCUUAACACAUGCAAGUCGAACGGAUUUUUGUCGUAGCUUGCUAUGAUAAAAAUUAGUGGCAGACGGGUGAGUAAUGCAUAGGAAUCUACCUAGUAGUAUGGGAUAGCCACUAGAAAUGGUGGGUAAUACUGUAUAAUCCCUGCGGGGGAAAGAUUUAUCGCUAUUAGAUGAGCCUAUGUUAGAUUAGCUAGUUGGUAGGGUAAAGGCCUACCAAGGCGGUGAUCUAUAGCUGGUCUGAGAGGAUGAUCAGCCACACUGGAACUGAGAUACGGUCCAGACUCCUACGGGAGGCAGCAGUGGGGAAUAUUGGACAAUGGGCGCAAGCCUGAUCCAGCUAUGCCGCGUGAGUGAGGAAGGCCUUAGGGUUGUAAAACUCUUUCAAUAGGGAAGAUAAUG